Molecule: long non-coding RNA, 774 nt
Filed under: Musa acuminata (dwarf banana)
Lineage: Eukaryota; Viridiplantae; Streptophyta; Magnoliopsida; Zingiberales; Musaceae
Description: long non-coding RNA (MACU_LNC001494)
Source: RNAcentral
CGACGCGGAGAGACGGCGCCGGCUUAGAUCUUGCGCAGCUUGUCGGCCUUGACGAUGGGGUUGGCGAGCGCGAUGGCCUCCCGGCCCGCCGCCUUGUAAUCGAAGGAACACGCGUGCCGCUCCGGGUACCGGUGCUCCCCGCAGUAGGUCGCCCCGCAUCGGCACGGGAACCCCGUCAGCCCCACCUUCUUCCGGCACGACGCGCACCGGUUCGGCCGUCGCGCCGGCGGCGCCUCUGCACCGGCCGCCGCCACCGAUGCCGCGGCGCUCCCUGAAGGCCCCUCCGGAGGGACAGUUACGGCGAUCGGGCCACAGGAGGAGGACGGGGGAGCGGCGACGGCCGAGGAGGCGGCGGCAGAGGGCGGCGGCGGGGAGAGGGAUCUCUCGACCGCGAUCAUGGCGGAGGCGGCCUGUUCCUCCUUGAGGCGGAGGUCGCGGUAACACUUGGAGCAGAGGUUGAGGGUGGCGGGGCUUCCGAAGAAGCCGCAGUUGUUGGCGCACAGCCGGUGGCCAUCUUGGCAUCGCUGUUCCUCCGCCAUCGUCCUGCCUCUUCUUUCUCCCUUCCGAUCGAUCAAUCCAAACAAACAAAAGGCACGAAUUCUGCACCAAAUAAACCAACAAGCCUCAGAUAACGAAGAACAACGACCGAGAUCUGCCUCUAGGGUUCCGGACAAGAUCAAGACGUCAAGGCAAAGAAAGAAUCGCGGAUCAGAAGAAAUCGAUCAUGCUUCAAUAUUAAGUCAGGAAUAGCGUGAAGAACCAAACCUAAUCGAC